CUCUUAUCCCGAGCAAGCGGAGGGACAGGCCCGAUGAAGCUCAGCAACCAACUCCUAUAAAUUGAGGAUUAAGGUGCUAACCUGCAAGACAAUAGUCUUGGAAGAUAAGAG
This is a non-coding RNA of 111 nucleotides. It matches the Rfam family "SAM riboswitch aptamer (S box leader)". Rfam says of the family: The SAM riboswitch is found upstream of a number of genes which code for proteins involved in methionine or cysteine biosynthesis in Gram-positive bacteria. The SAM riboswitch acts at the level of transcription termination control.